This 411-nucleotide ribosomal RNA is filed under the name uncultured bacterium. Its description in RNAcentral is "bacterial SSU rRNA". It matches the Rfam family "Bacterial small subunit ribosomal RNA", at positions 30 to 419 of the family's 1533-position model. The record is from RNAcentral.
AGCGAACGUUAGCGGCAGGCUUAACACAUGCAAGUCGAGCGAGAAAGGGGGCUUCGGCCCCCGUAAGACGGCGGACGGGUGCGUAACACGUGGAUAAUCUGCCCUUUCGGUCGGGGGACGAACCAUUCGAAAGGAUGGCUAAUACCGCAUAAGUCGGCGAGGUCUUUGUACUUCGCCGGGAAAGGGGGCGGCCCGCCAAGGGGCGUCCCACCAGAGGAUGAGUCCGCGGCCCAUCAGCUAGUUGGCGGGGUAAUGGCCCACCAAGGCAAGACGGGUAGCUGGUCUGAGAGGAUGAUCAGCCACACUGGGACUGAGACACGGCCCAGACUCCUACGGGAGGCAGCAGUGGGGAAUAUUGGACAAUGGGCGCAAGCCUGAUCCAGCCAUGCCGCGUGAGUGAUGAAGGCCUUC